AAAGUUUCCUUCGGGAGAUGAGUAGAGUGGCGCACGGGUGAGUAACACGUAGGUAAUCUACCUUCGGGUGGGGAAUAACCCAGGGAAACUUGGGCUAAUACCGCAUAAUGCAGCGGCACCACAUGGUGACAGUUGUUAAAGCGGGGGAUCUUCGGAUCUCGCGCCUGAAGAGGAGCCUGCGGCAGAUUAGCUAGUUGGUAAGGUAACGGCUUACCAAGGCGACGAUCUGUAGCCGGCCUGAGAGGGCGGUCGGCCACACUGACACUGACAUACGGGUCAGACUCCUACGGGAGGCAGCAGUCGGGAAUUUUGGGCAAUGGGCGAAAGCCUGACCCAGCAACGCCGCGUGAAGGAUGAAAUCCUUCGGGAUGUAAACUUCGCAAGAAUAGGAAGAAUUAGUAGGGGUUAAUACCCCCUAUGAUGACGGUACUAUUUGUAAGCUCCGGCUAACUCCGUGCCAGCAGCCGCGGUAAUACGGGGGGAGCAAGCGUUGUUCGGAUUUACUGGGCGUAAAGGGCGCGUAGGCGGUCAGCACAAGUCAGUUGUGAAAUCUCCGGGCUUAACUCGGAAAGGUCAACUGAUACUGUGCGACUAGAGUGCAGAAGGGGCAACUGGAAUUCUCGGUGUAGCGGUGAAAUGCGUAGAUAUCGAGAGGAACACCUGCGGCGAAGGCGGGUUGCUGGGCUGACACUGACGCUGAUGCGCGAAAGCCAGGGGAGCGAACGGGAUUAGAUACCCCGGUAGUCCUGGCCUUAAACGAUGGAUGCUUGGUGUCUGGAGUUUUAUAGUCUCCGGGUGCCGUAGCUAACGCGUUAAGCAU
This 820-nucleotide ribosomal RNA is filed under the name uncultured Pseudomonadota bacterium. Its description in RNAcentral is "bacterial SSU rRNA". It matches the Rfam family "Bacterial small subunit ribosomal RNA", at positions 70 to 867 of the family's 1533-position model. The record is from RNAcentral. Lineage: Bacteria; Pseudomonadati; Pseudomonadota.